CUGUUUUAAAUGUUACACCCGGGUUACCUCAUUUAAUCCUUACAACUGCCCUGUGAGGUAGGUACUAUUAUUAUCUCUACUUUGUAGAUGGGAUUCACCGAGGCACAGACGGUUAAAAAACCUAGCCCAAAUAACACAAAUAAACAGCAGAGCAUGCAGUGCUAGAGUCUGCAUUCUUAACAAUUGCUAUAUUCUCCCUCUCCGUGAAUGUGGGCUGAGAUGCUGAAACAGGCAUGUGCUGUGGGGGAGAAAAAGCUUUGUCCAACCAAGUGCUUUCUAAUGUCCAGAUGACAUAGAGCUAGGAUUUCCUAAUGUCUUUUUUCCCCUAUUUUUCUCUCCAUUUCAGGGUUGAGUUUGUGCAUCGAUUGUGAACACAACAGGCAGCAGGCUAUAAUGGUGGUCCUGGCUGGAGUAGUUUUCACAGACUUCAGUAAUCUGUGGAGAUGAACGGGCAGUUCUCUGUAGUUUUCACAGAUCACUGCCAGUUCGUUUUGAGGCCUUCAGGAGUGAAGACCUGGCUCAUCAUCACUCUUUGUUGUUUUGUUAAAUUUAUUUACACCCUACUUUAUUCCAGAGGAAAGGAUUUAACGUAGUUUACAUAAAUGUGUACAUCAGGGUAAAUUAAAAAUAAGUACAGAGAAAAAUAGGACAAAAGAAAACCGUGAGUGUGAAAGAUAAGAUUAAGCCAGCAGUUUUGUAUGCAAAAUGCAUGGUGUAAGGUCCUAUUGGUUUGCUGGAGGUAGGCCACACAUAUGACUCUCAGUUUUCUAGCAACCAAGAAAAAGAUCAGUUGCAAUCGGAGUAGGUGUUUUGGCUAAGCUGGAACUAGGACUUGAAUAUAGCAGCUUGUAGAGUUAUACCACUUGCCCAAAUCUCUUCCAUGAGCCUCUUUAAGUGUAACAGAAUGCCUGGGAGCACGUAAAUGCUCCUACUUAGAUGCCUACUUAGCCUCUAAUUUUCAUGGGGCCCAUGAAUCCCAUGAAAAAGAACUUUGAACCCUGUCCACAAUUAGAGUUCAGGUAUACGCAGACAUGUUUAAAGACAAGGGACACCCAAAGGAAAGAUUGCACAGAGAGAAAGUGAGCAUCCGAGAGAAAAUCACCACAAGUGAGGCAGAGGGAGGCCGGUCUCAGCAGAGUUUUGGAGGUCGUGAGAAGAAGAGGUAGGAGAUAGGAGAGUGGUUCCGAGUACUUGCCUGCUGAUGUUACCUUCUCCACCCCCACCAGGUUUUCCAGUGCCUGGAGUCUUGGGCAGGAAUGGGCCACUGUAAGAAAGAGCUUUAUCACUAGGGCCUCAGCCAACUUUUCUGUGGGAUAUCCCUCCAAAAUAAUUAAGAGUUCAGAAUGCUUCAGAUUUUGAAGUGAAACUGGUACAUAUAUUAAGUGUUACUUAAUAACCCGAUAGUUUCUAGGGCAGCUCACCAUAAUCCCAAGUAUUAGCCACCACCCUCACCCCCUUCAGAGUAAAAUGUGUUUCCUGAAGGAAGUUGGGAAAAUGAAGAAAAAAAAUACAAAAAUCACCUAUAAUCUUACCAGUCAUAGAUGGCAGUUUUCCUGUCUUAUUUCUGAAUAAUGGUUGUUAAACAUUUGCCAGCACACCAUAAGGCUUAGGGAGGCAUCUGGGUCAUGCAUGUUAAUAUCCUUGGGUAAUUCCAGAAAUCUCUAUGAAGGGAAACUCCUGUUAUUUAUCUAGACUUCCUGAUUGCAAGGGGUUUGGGCAUCAUGAUUUAGGGGUCUUAAUAAAAUUAUUAUUUUAUUUUUACUAAUAGAUAAUGUCUGUGCCUAUCAGAUAAAGGCAAACCAGUGCUCAGAGGAACCCAACCAUCUCUGAAUUGAGACCAGAGAGCUGUCUCUAUGGAUAGUCCUUAGAGAAGGCAUUUCGGAACACAGUAAACAGCAGCCUGGUGACUCCGGUUAGUAAACGCAGCAAAGACUUUCAUAGGGAUGUUUUUCUUAUAUGCCUGUCAGUAUUAGCCAGUAGCCAAUCUGGUGUGAAAGUGAGUAAGUUUAGGUAGCAAAAUGUGGAGGGGGUGAUAUAUAGUUUUUUGCUGCUCUGGCUUAAUCCAAGAUGACUUUUAAAUGAAUGAAUCAACAUUCAUUGGGCUGUCCUUCCAUAAAUAUGAUUCUUCUCAAUCAAGUGUUUAAUAAGUCUUAAGUAGUGGUAAGUUGAAAUUUUACUAGUU
RNAcentral lists this long non-coding RNA (2182 nucleotides) under Homo sapiens (human). RNAcentral describes it as "non-protein coding lnc-TRMT61B-1:7". Lineage: Eukaryota; Metazoa; Chordata; Mammalia; Primates; Hominidae. The record is from RNAcentral.